This is a non-coding RNA of Danio rerio (zebrafish), 73 nucleotides long. NCBI's taxonomy places the organism in Eukaryota, Metazoa, Chordata, Actinopteri, Cypriniformes, Danionidae. The record is from Rfam.
GCCCGGCUAGCUCAGUCGGUAGAGCAUGAGACUCUUAAUAUGAGGGUCGUGGGUUUGAGCCCCACAUUGUGCG